CCUUAAUUGCACAGUUGUCUUCUCUCAUACUUUUGUAUUUCAUCUGUAAAGCCCACAUUUUAUUGGGCUUGGGGCACUAGUCUGACCCAUGAGAAGGGGGAGGAGGGAGACUCCUGAUUGGGUCUUCUCCCUCCCCUGUUUCAAACCCAUCUUCAUCCUCCCGAAUCCACCGGAAAAAAAAAAUCCAGAGGAAAAGGAGGCUCAAAUCUUACCUAAAUUGAGCCUUAUUCUUGCCUAUAAAGACUCCCUUUUCCCUCCUUUCUAGGGCAUCAACCAAGAGCCCUUCCAUAGGAGGAUUGAUCGCCAAGCAAUCUGUUAGAGGAGAUCGGAGUAUUCGCCACCGAUCUAGCCGGAGGAACUCGCCGGGGAACUCGCCGGAGGCAAGGGAAACAAUCUAUUGGACGAGAGGGCGUUGAGCAGAGUCCUGCGCAUUCCGGUUCAUAGAUCGCCGUGAGGGUGGGUGAUUAGUUUGUCUGAGCUUUUCAACAAAGGAGUUGUAGGAUGCAUAAACAUGGAUGGGUUGGGCGCGGAGCGCGAGUAUCAAAGUCAUUAGCUAGUUAGUUAGUGUAUCUUUCUUUAAUGUUGAUGAACAUUUGAAGAUCUUGUAAUUGAACCAAAUUGAUUAUCUGGACAUGUUGGAUUUAUUUAUUUGAUUUAAGUAAUUAAUUAGUUAUGGAUUUA
This is a long non-coding RNA of Phoenix dactylifera (date palm), 681 nucleotides long. RefSeq lists it as uncharacterized. The record is from RefSeq and is a predicted model, not a curated record. Lineage: Eukaryota; Viridiplantae; Streptophyta; Magnoliopsida; Arecales; Arecaceae.